Molecule: non-coding RNA, 85 nt
Organism: Treponema lecithinolyticum ATCC 700332
Lineage: Bacteria; Pseudomonadati; Spirochaetota; Spirochaetia; Treponematales; Treponemataceae
Source: Rfam
GGAGAGAUGCGAGAGCGGUCGAUUCGGGCGGUCUCGAAAACCGUUGUACCGCAAGGUACCGGGGGUUCGAAUCCCCCUCUCUCCN